RNA transcript from Girardinichthys multiradiatus, 1723 nucleotides. It is a transcript of the gene named myeloid leukemia factor 2, with no coding region annotated. The record is from RefSeq and is a predicted model, not a curated record. Lineage: Eukaryota; Metazoa; Chordata; Actinopteri; Cyprinodontiformes; Goodeidae. The transcript has 10 exons.
CUAGCUUGUUAGCAGCGGUGUUUUCCUUUGUUACAGGUCGGACUUCCGUUUUCAAUGUUUGCUUCGGGUUUCUGGAAUUUACUGUCUGGUGACAGUUAUAGCUAGAAACCUCGUUGAUAAAGACAUAUAGUUGUUGUGUCGUUUUUUUUCGCGAAGCGGCCGGACCAGAAGUCCAACAUUUCAGCCCGACCUGAAAGUUGGACUGUCACUCUUUUUCAACGUCUCUUUAACUAAGGUUAGCUGGCUAGCAUUAGCCAGCUGAGUUAAACCGCUUAGCAUGUUUCGCUUCUUGAAUGACGCCGAAGACGAUCCUUUUAUGUUGGAUCCAUUUGCUGCCCACAGACAGCAGAUGAGGACUAUGUUUGGACCAUUCGCCAUGGAUCCAUUUGCGCUCGCUCCUCAGAUUCAGCCACACCGUGCUGCACGCAGACAGGCGGGUCCCAUUGUUCCCUUUGGCAUGAUGGGAAUGGGAGGAGGGUUCAUGGAUAUGUUUGGCAUGAUGGGAGAAAUGAUGGGAAACAUGGAAAGAAUGUCCGGAUCGCCAAACUGUCAAACAUUUUCAUCUUCAACAGUGAUCUCAUAUUCAUCCUUAGACACAGGAGCUCCUAAAGUUUAUCAGCAGACAAGUCAAACAACAACAGGCCCUGGCGGGAUCCGUGAGACACGGCAGUCGAUGAGGGACAGCGAGAGCGGCCUGGAGCGUCUUGCUAUCGGCCACCACAUUGGAGAACGAGCACACAUAAUGGAGCGCUCACGAAACAGGCGCACUGGAGAUCGAGAAGAACGGCAAGACUUCAUUAACCUUGAUGAGAGCGAUGCUGCAGCAUUUGAUGAGGAGUGGAGGAGGGAGGCAGGGAGAUAUGCUCCCCCACAUGCCCGGGGGCUGGAAUAUGGUCAAGAUCCACGUGGAGGAGGACAGCAGCUGGCCCUUCCUGCCCCUUCCAGUUCAACACCCCCCCAUCGACAUGAGUCUCCCCGACAUCGUCAGCAUCACACACGUCCACGUUACGACUGGUGAAGGAACAAAAGGAUGCCACAUCAUUUGAUGAAGAUGAUCAACCCACAGAGGGCUUAAUCUGAAGUCAGUGAGAAAUGUAAGCAGAAAAACUCAAGCAAGCUGGUCCAAUCUACUGAAAUGUCACUGCAGCAACUGAAAAUGAUCCUGACCAGGUCAUCACUGAGCUCCUGGCCAGUCUGAGCUACAACCUGGUGGUGUUGGAUGGACCAAAAUGUGAUGUCCUAGAGAUGUUCUGUUGGAUUUAGGUGUCCCACUUUGCAAGGAAGCAGAAGGAAGGAACUGAGGGAGCGCUUCCCCCGAUGCUGUGAAACACACUGAAGACGGAGCUGCCCGACAUUAAUGUUUGAUAUGACUGGACUGUCUAAACAUGUGCAACAUAUUACACACACACACAAGAUCAAGAAAAUAUAACACACUCGAUGGCUACAUUUACAGAUCAACUUCUGUACUGUUACAUAGCGCUAUACAGACACCCCUGUGUAAACAUGGGUGAAAGUACACUCACUUUAUAUAUAAAUAUGUACUCAUUCUCAAAACUUGACAUGUCUUUACCCACUGCACUUCGCUGCUGCAGUAUUCAGUAAUUCUGCUGUACAGUCCAUUUUAUGUUUGUGAGGGCACUAGUGUGUCUGUGAACUGAAUUGUAUACUGUUACCUAAUUAAUCUAACUAAAUAAAAGUUCAUUAAACAUUGUUAGAUAAUUAA